UACGGGGGGGGCAAGCGUUGUUCGGAAUUACUGGGCGUAAAGGGCUCGUAGGCGGCCAACUAAGUCAGACGUGAAAUCCCUCGGCUUAACCGGAGAACUGCGUCUGAUACUGGAUGGCUUGAGGUUGGGAGAGGGAUGCGGAAUUCCAGGUGUAGCGGUGAAAUGCGUAGAUAUCUGGAGGAACACCGGUGGCGAAGGCGGCAUCCUGGACCAAUUCUGACGCUGAGGAGCGAAAGUGUGGGGAGCGAACAGG
This 253-nucleotide ribosomal RNA is filed under the name uncultured bacterium. Its description in RNAcentral is "partial 16S ribosomal RNA". It matches the Rfam family "Bacterial small subunit ribosomal RNA", at positions 524 to 776 of the family's 1533-position model. The record is from RNAcentral.